AUUAGGAUGGCUAAAAUCCCAAACACUGUUAACAUCAAAUGCUGACAAGACUGUGGGACAACAGCAACUCUCAUUCAGUAUUGACUCAUCUAUUGUAACAAUUUGUCCCAAUUUGUCCCAGCAUAUUUUAGUGAAUAAUUUAUUCUAUUCUCACUGAAAUCAAGUUUAGCCAUCAUAAUAAUGAAUUGUCCAUAUAUCUAAGUAUCUAUUUCUAGAUUUUCUAUUCUCUUUGAAAUACAUCUAUUCAAAUACUAGUACCAUACAUUUUAUUACUAUGAUUUUAAUAUAUUUUAUAUGUAGUAGGGAAAUCCCCUACUUCUUUAUUCUUUAGAUGAAACUAAAUAUUGAUAUACCAAAUUGUUACAAGAAAAAGAAUGCCCUGAGAACUUGAUUGUAAUAACAUUAAAUUUAUCAAAUAAUUGGGGGAUAAUUGACUUAAUCAUAAUUACAAGAGCUGUUUCAAAUCUUUUUAAGUACCAAACACAAUAAUAUUGUUGAAAUACAUUUGCCAUGUUUAUGAAAUUCUUAAUGUAAUAUUAUUUGUAAUGGUAAUAUUAGUAAUAGUUUGAUAUAUUAAUAAUUCAGUUGAUCUAAGCAUGCAUUCUUUCAUGAUGAUGAUUAUGGUCAAAAUAUGCCAAAUGUGUCUGUAAAUAUCAUGCAUAAUAUAAUCACUUAGCAAAUAAAUUGCUGAAAGAGAAGGAAAAACGUAGAGUUGGUUCUAAAGCUGUGGCAAUGUUGCUUUUAGUCAUAUGUUCUCAUUUACUCCAUUCCAGAAUGUUUAUGUGCUAUUGCAUAGUCCCUGGCGUGCCAUCUGUUCCUGCAGUCAAGACCAGUAAACUCAGGUAUGAGCCUUGCAAGAAGACAUACAUAUUUUGCUGAUUGCCAAGGGGAUAAUGCAUUGGGUAUAAGAAGAAGGAAAGUAGAGGAACCAAUUAAGAAAUAUUUACUACAAUUAAGAAGAGAUGAUAAUAACUUCGACCAAGGUGGAGGCUAUGAAGAUGGAGCAAUGCGAAUACAUGGAGACAUGUUUUUGAUGUAGACUCAGCAAGAAAUUCUAAUAUAUUAGAUUUUAUGUUUUGGGAGAAAAAGAGACAUCUCCAAGAUUAUGGCUUGAAUAGAUUGGGACUAAUAGUGAAACUUGAGAGUGAUCACAUAUGGAGAUGAAAGAUUGAAAGACCUCUCGCUGAACAUAAUAUAGAAGGUCUAAAAUACUCUCAAGUCCCCUCCAUCUCAAAAUGACAGCAGUAACAGUGAAAACUAAACAUAGCUGUACCAAGAGGAAAGGCCAUAUGAGGACAUAGCAAGAAGGUGGCUGUAUACAAGUCAGGAAAAGAGGCUUCAACAGAAACCCACUCUGACCAAGCAUCUUGAACUUGGACUUCAUAAUUACAUUUUGGCUGAAUGGAAACUUGCCUAAUAUCUUUAAAAGAAGAAAUACAUGAUUAACUUCAUCAUCUGGUAGAAAAAGAUUCUGAAAGGUAGACAAUCUGUGGAGAAGAAAGUAAAGAAGUUGAGUCUUUAUGUGGCUAUUGCUUUGAAGACAAAGAAUAACGAAGAUUGAGCCCAGCAUCUUGCUAUUAAGGAAAAGGCCUGUGUAUCUUACUUCGCCCUCCUUGUGAGUUGCCACUUCCUGUUCAUCCUCCUAUCAACGUGAUAUAAACACCAAAAUAGACCAAAGUAAUUAUCUGGGGAAUGUCCAGAGGGUGUUUACCUUCAGAAAAUUAACAGCUUUGAGACUAAAUCGAUGACCCAGCAAGAAGGUUCUCAUCAGUGGCUGACCAGAUGCCAGAAACAUGCCAUUGGAGUGCCCAGCCUUCAGAACAGAAACAUGGCUGUAUAAGUAGAAAACUUUGAAGAAUUUGCUGUGGCAAGGACUUGCCUUCUCUCAGAUGAGACUUUGGACUGUGGACUUUUGUGUUAAUGCUGGAAUGAAUUAAGAUGUUGGGGGACUGUU
Molecule: long non-coding RNA, 1954 nt
Filed under: Homo sapiens (human)
Lineage: Eukaryota; Metazoa; Chordata; Mammalia; Primates; Hominidae
Description: HSALNT0335197
Source: RNAcentral